CCAAACACAGGCACGGCUUUACAGAAGAAAUGGGUCAUGUAACGCAACAUUAAACCAUAUCGAUAUAAACGACAUUGCUUCGUUCGUGUAGAGGCAGCAGAUGCGAGGACGUUAGGUGCACCGGUGCAACCUAGGAAAAAUCUUAGUCGCACCCUUAUACUCUAGAGCCCUGCUGUAUGGAUGUGAUGUGUAGAAAAGCCAAAGCAGACAAAUACAAGACUAGAGUAUACUUGUCCUGGGGAUACACAGUGGUAGUUAGGUGUCCUACUCAAUGAAACCAAACUGGAAAAUACUAAAUCAUCAACAAGUUUUUUUAAAUUUUUAACUGAACAGUGCAUCAGGCGCUGGUUGUACAUUUGGUGGCUGUAGCAACUGUGUCUCUGCCUGAUGGAAAGUGGUGAAAUCGAUCCACUUUAUGUCCUUCUGCUGGUUUAUUGUUUUUGUUCUCUGCCUUUUCUUUCUGCCAGGACGUUCAAAAAACAAAAGAAAUGCAGCAGCAGCAGCACAUCACAUCAAAGAGGAUAACAUCUACGAGGAGAUACAGGAGCCCCCCUCUGCCUCGCUGCAUUACUCGACCGUCAACUUUACAAACUGCUCAGACAAAGCUGGUGCUGAGACACUGCUCACCAAACCCAGCUCCUCUGCCUGUGAAUAUUCGACUGUGAAAAACAGCCAAAGUCAAACCUCCUCUACUGUCAACCAGCCAUCUUCAGAGGAUCCUCUCUACUCAACAGUCAACAAGUCAUAGGAGCAAUGAGGAAGGAUCAGUGUGGGGUUUUACCGUGGAAGAUUUCAAUGUCUUGGACAAAUGGAGAAAUUCUGAUCAAAUAGUAUCUGUGUUUAUACAGCUUAAAAACAAUUGAUAAGCAGGCUAAAUAAUGUAUGUAUGAGUGUCUAGAGUUGGAUUGUACUCAAAUGUGCCUAAGCUGCUGCUUCAGUCUGAGUGUGUGUGCUGGGGAGGGGGGGGAGAGAGAGAGUGAGUGGGCUGUUGGCGCUCCUGUUUUUUUGCUAGACUGCUUGUUUUUAAUUACUAUGGUCACCACGUCAUCUAUAGUCCUGUUCAAUUUCUUUUUAAAAUUGUUAUUUUUUUAUAAUUGUCAUACCUGUCCAGGGACUACAGGUGGAUAUUAGCAAUUGUUGCUAUAACCUGGCCCAAGACAUAUUCUCUUGUAUUACAAGUUUAAUGUUUAUUUGUGCAUUGUCCCAAAUACAUUUCCAUUCCAUUCCAAGCCGACCUAGAGGUGCACUGCCAUGAUCUGGCAAGUUGAAUCACCCAAAGAGACUGCGCUUGUUAAGAAGUGUAAAAAUAUUUGGGGUUCAUUAUGACACUCUUGGUGUACAAGCUGGAAGUGACUAUUUGAUGAAAAGCAAGUAAAAAUGUGUAAACCUGAGUCAAAAUAAAACCCUAAAUUCUUG
Molecule: long non-coding RNA, 1416 nt
Organism: Perca fluviatilis (European perch)
Lineage: Eukaryota; Metazoa; Chordata; Actinopteri; Perciformes; Percidae
Exons: 2
Source: RefSeq, a predicted model, not a curated record